GUUUAUAAAGUUUACAAAACAUUUCAUUUUCAAUGAAAAAAGAAUCUUAUGAUUUAUAAAUA
This 62-nucleotide transfer RNA is filed under the name Derotettix mendosensis. RNAcentral's name for it is "tRNA-Glu". The record is from RNAcentral. Lineage: Eukaryota; Metazoa; Arthropoda; Insecta; Hemiptera; Cicadidae.